UAAUACCAGCAGUCCGAGUAGCAACCACUUUUAUUAGGUUUAGAGAGUUCGUAGCUCGUCCAGAAAGUUUUUUGUGAAAUGUUACAGCUUAACUGUAACGCGUGCAAGAAAUACUGUUGGACUUGAGACCAGGAGACGCAGCGAGUAUGGUUGGGGUAGCGGUAAAAUGUUUUAAUCCCAGCCAGACUAACAAUUGGCGAAGGCACGCUGCGAGAAUGGAUCUGACGGUGAGGAACGAAGGCCAAGGGCGCAAAGGGGAUUAGAUACCCCCGUAGUCUUGGCUGUAAACGCUGCAUACUAAACAUUGUGCUCUCCUAGAGAGAGUGUAGUGCUGUAGAGAAAUCGUUAAGUAUGCCACCUGGGGAGUAUAGCCGCAAGGUCG
Molecule: ribosomal RNA, 382 nt
Filed under: uncultured archaeon
Lineage: Archaea
Description: bacterial SSU rRNA
Rfam family: Archaeal small subunit ribosomal RNA
Source: RNAcentral